GGCAGUAGAUGGAAGAAUCUGUGCUGAUGUUGGAGUUUCUUGAUGCUGUGUGACUUCCUCCAUCCUUGGUUGCUCCUAGCAUUCAAAAAGGAGGAAUAUUACUCAAGAUGGAAACCAAUAAAUAUUUAUGUUUGAAAUUUAGCACAAGAACUUAACAAAUAAACUGCUUUUGCUUCUGAUUUUGAUACAUUAUAAUAGGUCUCCUCUUAUAUAUCUCCUUCUGAUAGUGUCCACAAGCUACUAUGCAUGGAUGGAGAUCCUGUGCUGAUUUCAACAAGAAGGUGCUCAAUGCUUUAGCUUAAUUAGAAGAAG
Molecule: long non-coding RNA, 312 nt
Filed under: Elaeis guineensis (African oil palm)
Lineage: Eukaryota; Viridiplantae; Streptophyta; Magnoliopsida; Arecales; Arecaceae
Description: long non-coding RNA (EGUI_LNC036420)
Source: RNAcentral